UCUCGAUUAGCUCAACGGUAGAGUGAGCGGCUGUGGCCCGCUAGACCGGGGUUCAACUCCCCGAUCGGGAC
Molecule: transfer RNA, 71 nt
Filed under: Candidatus Aenigmatarchaeota archaeon
Lineage: Archaea; Nanobdellati; Candidatus Aenigmatarchaeota
Description: tRNA-His
Rfam family: tRNA
About the family: Transfer RNA (tRNA) molecules are approximately 80 nucleotides in length. Their secondary structure includes four short double-helical elements and three loops (D, anti-codon, and T loops).
Source: RNAcentral